UUGGAUGACUCUCGGCGAUGGAUAUGUUGCCUCUUGCAUCGAUGAACAGCGCAACGUACUGCAAUACGUGGUGAGAAUUGCAUAAUCCCGUGAACCAUCUCAUCUAUGAACGCUUGUUGCCCCCGACGCCUGUUGACUGACGGCACGUCCGCCU
RNAcentral lists this ribosomal RNA (154 nucleotides) under Hetaeria youngsayei. RNAcentral's name for it is "5.8S ribosomal RNA". The stretch from base 7 to 142 matches the Rfam family "5.8S ribosomal RNA". From Rfam's summary of the family: 5.8S ribosomal RNA (5.8S rRNA) is a component of the large subunit of the eukaryotic ribosome. Lineage: Eukaryota; Viridiplantae; Streptophyta; Magnoliopsida; Asparagales; Orchidaceae. The record is from RNAcentral.